RNAcentral lists this transfer RNA (110 nucleotides) under Pseudocercospora eumusae. Its description in RNAcentral is "Mycosphaerella eumusae tRNA". It matches the Rfam family "tRNA". From Rfam's summary of the family: Transfer RNA (tRNA) molecules are approximately 80 nucleotides in length. Their secondary structure includes four short double-helical elements and three loops (D, anti-codon, and T loops). Further hydrogen bonds mediate the characteristic L-shaped molecular structure. tRNAs have two regions of fundamental functional importance: the anti-codon, which is responsible for specific mRNA codon recognition, and the 3' end, to which the tRNAs corresponding amino acid is attached (by aminoacyl-tRNA synthetases). tRNAs cope with the degeneracy of the genetic code in two manners: having more than one tRNA (with a specific anti-codon) for a particular amino acid; and 'wobble' base-pairing, i.e. permitting non-standard base-pairing at the 3rd anti-codon position. The record is from Rfam by way of RNAcentral. Lineage: Eukaryota; Fungi; Ascomycota; Dothideomycetes; Mycosphaerellales; Mycosphaerellaceae.
GCAGUUGUGGCGCAGUGGUAGCGCAUCUGCUUCGCACGAGAAUGCCGGAGAGCGACUCGUAGAUGGAUCUCGUAUGCAGGUGGUCGUCGGUUCAAUCCCGACCAAGUCCA